Molecule: small nucleolar RNA, 84 nt
Filed under: Danaus plexippus plexippus
Lineage: Eukaryota; Metazoa; Arthropoda; Insecta; Lepidoptera; Nymphalidae
Description: small nucleolar RNA snR60/Z15/Z230/Z193/J17
Rfam family: Small nucleolar RNA snR60/Z15/Z230/Z193/J17
About the family: The members of this family belong to the C/D class of snoRNAs which contain the C (UGAUGA) and D (CUGA) box motifs. Most of the members of the box C/D family function in directing site-specific 2'-O-methylation of substrate RNAs.
Source: Rfam by way of RNAcentral
AUGUUUUUAAUGAUGAUCCCAUAGUUCAUCUGAUGUUUUUGAUGUACAUAAUGCAUUGUCUUUCGCUCCUAUCUGAAUUAUUAU